UUUCUCUCUCUAGCAAUAUGCAAAAUUCGCUGAUGUAUCCUUAAUUUUUUCUCUCUUGCUCUAUGAAACAAGCUUUGAAGUCCCUAAAUCUUGAAAGUUGAAGGCAUUAUUGGCAGAAAAGUUUCCUAAAUCUUGAUGUUUGAAGGCAUUUUUUGGAGAAAAACAUUUCAUCUAGCUAUGUAGAUCUAAAGUAAGUUUAUUCCUCCAGAUUCAUCUCCCUCUUCUUCUUUUUUUGGUAUAAUCUUCCAUUUUUCUUUCUGAUGAUUGAAUAUUAUGUGAUUUGGCUCUUAUAGAUACUCAAUGUUAUUUUGUUAGGACCGAAAAUGAUAAUUUUGUAGGUAAGGCUGGGGGUUGAGGGUCAAAGAGGAGAUAUUUGAGAGUUUAUUUAAGGAUUUUCUCUGUUAGGGUUGCAUAAUUGCUAGGGCUGCCAAGAAAUUUUG
This 440-nucleotide long non-coding RNA is filed under the name Solanum tuberosum (potato). RNAcentral describes it as "long non-coding RNA (STUB_LNC000817)". Lineage: Eukaryota; Viridiplantae; Streptophyta; Magnoliopsida; Solanales; Solanaceae. The record is from RNAcentral.